UACGUAGGGGGCAAGCGUUGUCCGGAUUUAUUGGGCGUAAAGAGCGUGUAGGCGCCACACAGGUCUGCUGUGAAAACUCGAGGCUCAACCUCGAGCUGUCGGUGGAAACCGUGUGGCUAGAGUCCGGAAGAGGAGAGUGGAAUUCCCGGUGUAGCGGUGAAAUGCGCAGAUAUCGGGAAGAACACCCGUGGCGAAGGCGGCUCUCUGGGACGGUACUGACGCUGAGACGGCGAAAAGCGUGGGGGAGCCGAACAGG
Molecule: ribosomal RNA, 256 nt
Filed under: uncultured bacterium
Lineage: Bacteria
Description: partial 16S ribosomal RNA
Rfam family: Bacterial small subunit ribosomal RNA
Source: RNAcentral